GAGGGGGCUCCCUGCCCCGCCCGAAGGGAAGCCUGGAAUUGCUCAUCGAGACUUAAAGUCGAAGAACAUCCUAGUGAAGAAAAAUGGAAUGUGCGCCAUUGCAGAUCUGGGCCUGGCCGUCCGUCAUGAUGCAGUCACUGACACCAUUGACAUUGCCCCAAAUCAGAGGGUGGGAACCAAACAGUAGGAAGGCCCUGGGCUUCUGCCUUUGCCCUAUACCUGCGCUGAGUGGUCCAUGUGUGUCCUUCCUUGUUGUGCAGAAGGAAGAGAAGGUCUGUUUAUCAGUUGAAUCUCAGUGAAUUUCACUAAAUUGUUCUGCUUUUUCCCUCCCCUUUGACCUGAAUGAAUGACCCAGGCUCCAAAUUGUAAGGCCUGAGGUGAUCCCCUGAUUUGUAUCAAGUCGUAUUAAUUAGCUGAGAGGGACUUUGAUGACUAUGUAGAAUAAUUUUCACAUUAUCUGCAGGAUGAAGUUUAAGCUCAGCCCAUCACUGGGGCUACAUUUAAUGAAGUCCUAGACCCCAGUAGCAACUAGAUAUUACAUAUUGUUAGUGCCCUGUGAUCCACAGUACAAAUACUCUGCCAAGAAAUCAAAACAUGCUAAAAAUCAAUCUUGGUGGUUAAAAAGUAGAGGUAUGAAUAAGAGUAGCCUAUGCUACUUCCCAAAGCUAUGCUGAAGAAUUUAGAUUCGAACCCAAAACAUGGGAGUUUGCAAUAAAUGCAUUGAUCAGUUCCUCGUCCCCAAGGGGCUUUUUUGGGGUGGUACCCACAUUCUGAGGGCUCCCGAGUCAAUGCUUUGAUUUAAGGAGAGAAGUCAUCUUUUCCUACGCAUGAUCAUGUUUCCUUUGCUGUUGCAGAUACAUGACCCCUGAAGUGCUUGAUGAAACCAUUAACAUGAAGCACUUUGACUCCUUUACUAGUAAAUGUGCUCAUAUCUAUGCCCUGGGGCUUGUAUAUUGGGAGAUUGCUUAAAGAUGCAUUUCUGGAGGUACUUUUCUCUUCUGCCUUUUCUUGCUCCUGCCUCCCAGUCUAGGAUGCUGGAUCACCUGAGGAUGCUGGUGUUCUACUGCCUCCUUUCUUUUUACAACCUGCCAGAUGCCUAGUGACAGACUCCAUCAAUCGCAGCGUUCUCAUCAAAUAUGAGGGAACCUUGGAGGUAGCUGUGCGAAGGAUCUUUGGAAUUUGCAACUGCUCACUCAUGUCAGAAUCCAGUACAAGGUAGUAUCAGAUUUAGCGGAGAACAUUUCUAUCAUCAGCUUAGUACAUCAGUGUUUUACAAUGACUUUUAAGUAUGCUGCCCUCAAGCUCAAGAACCACUGGAGCCCUGCCCUCAGCCGUUUAUCUUAAAUGUAAGAAAUUCCAGGUCAGGGGGAAUGAAUUAAGUGAAAUGAAAUGAAAUGAAAUGAAAUGAAAUGAAAUGAAUUAAAAAGAACUGGUGAGUCUUCCAGCUAGACCCCUUUCUGUGUUACUGUCUUUUUCUAUCUAUGAUAUUUUUGGUAAGAUCCAAAUUAUGGAGAAGGCACCCAGGUGUUAUUCAUAGAAUUGUACAUCUAAAAUUUUGAUCCUUACCUACAGAAAACAGAUUAAGAAAGUCAGGCCACACAGAUCUUAAACUGAGUAAGUUAAUACAUAGAGUGAUGGGAGCACAGAUGAGGUGCGGAGGGAAGGACAGGCCCCUGCCCUCCAGGGGCUCCCUGGCUGGAACGGAGUAGUAAAUAAAUAACGACCAUGGACUGAGAUAAGUGCUAUGAUAAGGGUAGACACAGAAUGCUCUGGGAACACAGGACAAACAAGAGGUUGGGGUCAAGAGAGGCGACAUCUCAUCUAUUGUGGAGCAGGCAUUGGCCUGCUGAUUAAGGAGAGGAGGGAGUUUUAGUCAAAAUCAGUGUGACACCAAGAACCACAGAUGUUCAGUAUGGCUAGUGCUUGUACUAAAAAUUAGUUAAUAAUCUUUAACACAUUUUUCCUUUCUUUGUAUUCUCAUCUAAUAUUUAUGAACAUGCAUUAGUUUUUAAUUACCCAAUUAACACAUGUGCAUGCUUGUAAAAGCUCAAAAUUGCAAAGUAUAGAAGGUAAAAGUUACAUAGAUGAACACAUGCUUCGUUUCUAUAGAGUUGUAAUUGUAUGUGUGGCUUUAUAUUUCUAUUUGUUUCGCUUAUUUUGUAAGUAUUUUCCUUAUCUUUAAUGGUCAUUAGUUUCAAUGACUGCAAAAGUUCCAAUUAUUUUGUGUCAUACUAAUUUAGCUAUUCCCCUUUAAUUAUAUGUUUUUAUUUCAUUUUUAACUAUUGUGUAAUGUUGCUAUAAAUAGAAUAUGUAUAGGUAUAUGUAUAUUUCUUCUUUUGAAUUAUUUUCUUAGAAUAUAUUUAAUUGUAGUGAUUUCUUUGCAGAGAUGAACAGAAAUUAUAAAUUUACCAUUUUAUGGAAUUUAUUGUUUUGAGGAUAUGGCCUAAAAAUGUUUGCAAAUCACUGAUUGGUUUACAACUCAGGAAAAAUUUUUCUAAGCUGAUUUUUAGAGAGGGAGGAAGGGAGAGGGAGAGAGUGAAACAUUGAUCUACUGCCUCCUGCAU
Molecule: long non-coding RNA, 2564 nt
Organism: Myotis brandtii (Brandt's bat)
Lineage: Eukaryota; Metazoa; Chordata; Mammalia; Chiroptera; Vespertilionidae
Exons: 3
Source: RefSeq, a predicted model, not a curated record